This 253-nucleotide ribosomal RNA is filed under the name uncultured bacterium. Its description in RNAcentral is "partial 16S ribosomal RNA". It matches the Rfam family "Bacterial small subunit ribosomal RNA", at positions 524 to 776 of the family's 1533-position model. The record is from RNAcentral.
UACGUAGGGGGCUAGCGUUGUCCGGAUUUAUUGGGCGUAAAGGGCGUGUAGGCGGCCUUACAGGUCAGCUGUGAAAACUCGAGGCUCAACCUCGAGAGGGCGGUUGAAACCGUAUGGCUAGAGUCCGGAAGAGGAGAGUGGAAUUCCUGGUGUAGCGGUGAAAUGCGCAGAUAUCAGGAAGAACACCUAUGGCGAAGGCAGCUCUCUGGGACGGUACUGACGCUGAGACGCGAAAGCGUGGGGAGCGAACAGG